GAAAACCUCGGGACGGUGAGCCGUAUUUAAUCUAGAAGGUGUACAAAACAUCCUUCUAGUUUUCUCCUUAUCUGUAGUGGAUAGCUCCGCCCAUUGCUUAGCUAAGUUACUGACUGCACAUUUGAAAGCCACAAACAAAUGCUCGAACGUCCACGAAGGUGCAUCACGAGAUAUAUUUUGCUUGAGGUCCUUUAAUUUUACAGAAGCCUUGAGUCGCUUAACGAGAGUAAUAGAGCAAUGCUCAGGAUAACUGAGAGCUGAAAUGAACUUCUCUGGAGUCCAAGAAACUUUACUAGUAACGAUUGACCUUGUAGACAUAAUGGAAACGAAUGAAUAGUAAAAAAUAUUAACCAGCAA
This is a non-coding RNA of Schizosaccharomyces pombe (fission yeast), 357 nucleotides long. Lineage: Eukaryota; Fungi; Ascomycota; Schizosaccharomycetes; Schizosaccharomycetales; Schizosaccharomycetaceae. The record is from the annotation of a GenBank genome assembly.